UCGACCUGAGGUCAGG
This 16-nucleotide ribosomal RNA is filed under the name Trebouxia jamesii. Its description in RNAcentral is "partial 26S ribosomal RNA". The record is from RNAcentral. Lineage: Eukaryota; Viridiplantae; Chlorophyta; Trebouxiophyceae; Trebouxiales; Trebouxiaceae.